AACGCACAUUGCGCCCGUCAGUAUUCUGGCGGGCAUGCCUGUUCGAGCGUCAUUUCAACCCUUAAGCCUCUGUUGCUUAGUGUUGGGAGCCUGCCAGGGCUUGCCCGGGCAGCUCCCCAAAGACAGUGGCGGAGUCGGUCUUGCACUCCAGACGUAGUAGAAUUUUCGUCUCGUCUGCGGUCUGGCCGGCGCCCUGCCGUAAAACACCCCAAUUUCUCAAGGUUGACCUCGGAUCAGGUAGGAAUACCCGCUGAACUUAA
Molecule: unclassified non-coding RNA, 260 nt
Filed under: uncultured Xylariales
Lineage: Eukaryota; Fungi; Ascomycota; Sordariomycetes; Xylariales
Description: sequence contains 5.8S rRNA gene, ITS2, 28S rRNA gene
Source: RNAcentral